Molecule: ribosomal RNA, 491 nt
Filed under: uncultured bacterium
Lineage: Bacteria
Description: partial 16S ribosomal RNA
Rfam family: Bacterial small subunit ribosomal RNA
Source: RNAcentral
AUUGAACGCUGGCGGCAGGCCUAACACAUGCAAGUCGAACGGUAACAGGAAGCAGCUUGCUGCUUUGCUGACGAGUGGCGGACGGGUGAGUAAUGUCUGGGAAACUGCCCGAUGGAGGGGGAUAACUACUGGAAACGGUAGCUAAUACCGCAUAACGUCGCAAGACCAAAGAGGGGGACCUUAGGGCCCCUUGCCAUCGGAUGUGCCCAGAUGGGAUUAGCUAGUAGGUGGGGUAACGGCUCACCUAGGCGACGAUCCCUAGCUGGUCUGAGAGGAUGACCAGCCACACUGGAACUGAGACACGGUCCAGACUCCUACGGGAGGCAGCAGUGGGGAAUAUUGCACAAUGGGCGCAAGCCUGAUGCAGCCAUGCCGCGUGUAGGAAGGAGGCCUUCGGGUUGUAAAGUACUUUCAGCGGGGAGGAAGGGAGUAAAGUUAAUACCUUUGCUCAUUGACGUUACCCGCAGAAGAAGCACCGGCUAACUCCGUGC